UUGUCUGUUGGCAGGUGUUCUGCUCGAGCAUGACAUGCGACAAAGGCGCGAUAGCGCGUUUGAACGCCGCUUGCGGCGGCCCCGCAGGGGCGAGGCUCGAAGAGCCGAGUAAAGUAGGACACUGCCAGGCA
RNAcentral lists this small RNA (131 nucleotides) under Serratia sp. FGI94. Its description in RNAcentral is "RtT RNA". Lineage: Bacteria; Pseudomonadati; Pseudomonadota; Gammaproteobacteria; Enterobacterales; Yersiniaceae. The record is from RNAcentral.